Molecule: ribosomal RNA, 367 nt
Filed under: unidentified archaeon
Lineage: Archaea
Description: bacterial SSU rRNA
Rfam family: Archaeal small subunit ribosomal RNA
Source: RNAcentral
AGUAACACGUAGUCAACCUAACCUGUGGACGUGGAUAAUCUCGGGAAACUGAGGAUAAACCACGAUAGAUAACGGUGGCUGGAAUGGCCCAUUGUCCAAACAGUUUACUGCCACGGGAUGGGACUGCGGCCUAUCAGCUUGUUGGUGAGGUAAUGGCCCACCAAGGCUAUAACAGGUACGGGCUCUGAGAGGAGAAGCCCGGAGAUGGGUACUGAGACACGGACCCAGGCCCUAUGGGGCGCAGCAGGCGAGAAACCUUAGCAAUGUGCGAAAGCACGACUGGGUCAGUCCGAGUGAUUUCUGAUAAAGGAAUCUUUUGCUAGUCCUAAAAGCACUAGCGAAUAAGGGGUGGGCAAGUCUGGUGCCA